Molecule: long non-coding RNA, 85 nt
Organism: Ipomoea nil (Japanese morning glory)
Lineage: Eukaryota; Viridiplantae; Streptophyta; Magnoliopsida; Solanales; Convolvulaceae
Exons: 3
Source: RefSeq, a predicted model, not a curated record
UCACCAAUGGGAUUGGUAUGCUAGAGUAGAAGAACUCACUCGAUUAUGCAAAUAAUCUGCUUUCUUCCAACCCAGUCAUUCUAGG